UUCUAAAGGAUGAGUUUUCUAUAUUUCAGCUCUCCUAACAAGGAAUUUCUGCUCCUUCAAGAUUACCUUUCUUGCUCUUAGUGCCUUUGGUUUUCCUUCUCCAUCUUGUUCCUGGCCUUUCCCUCCCUUGCCACUUUUCUGCUUUAUUUUGUUCUCCUUUUCUUUUACAAUUUGCACAUAUUAUUUUGGGGAUUAUUUCUCUCCUGCUACUUUUCUUCAGUUUUUUACUUAGCUUUCUUUCCUGUGUGCUUCCAUGUCUCAUGUGACUGGAAAACAAUCUGUGGGGAGCAGGGGGAGUUGGUUGUCAGUGUGCUAGCAUACCGUCCUUCCCAGAACUGUAACUGAACACAGCAGCUGUGGAUGGGAAAGAAGUGUCCAUUGUAUCCUCUAUGUAUCAGAUCUCAAAUCAAGCUAGAAAUGCAAACUGUUUCUGAACACUGUUUUUCUCAUUAGCAAGAUGUGCAUUGCAAUGCUUGACAUUGACAAGUUUGCUAGCAGAUAAGAAGACACCAGAAAGCAUCCUGUGAUUGUGGCAAAGGGAAGUAGCCACCUUCUUCACACUGACCUUCAAAUAAUUGGCAAUGGCUAUCAAUUUGCGUGGCACUUUUCAAAGGCAGCCCUUCAAGAUCAGAGACAGAAGGCAUUCCAAAACAGGAUGGUUAUGGUGCAACUUGAGCAGAUUCACAGAAAUACUCAGAUCAAACUGCUGGCUCUAAACCAGUUCUCAUUCAUAGGAGAGACAGGAGUCAGCUGCACAUCUGUUGCCACAGAACUCCUCUCAAUUCAAAUGAUAUAUGACUUGCUUCUGUCCUGGUAAGGGGGCAAAUAAACUCCUGUAUCUAAAGACUGUACACUUUCUGGGAAGGUCAGGGCAAAAGUGUGCCCAGAGCAUUAGCUGUCAUCAUUGAAACAAAAGUCAGGUUUCUGUAUCUAGUGAUCCCAGGGGUGGUGGAUUAAUCUUGGUUGGCCGCCAGGCACCCACCAAGCCACUCUUAUCACCCCUCCUCAGUGAGCAGUGCCAGCACUGCUUAGCAGUAGCCAGAAUGUCACUCUAGCUACCAAUACAAAACACAGCACUAUGAGGCCUGCUGUGGGGAAAGUUCACUGCAUCCCAGCCAGACCCAAUACACCUUAAAGUAACAUAAUGGUUGUUUUGUUUAUCCUGAAAUUUUAAAUGGCUUUUGAAUAUUCAGAUGGUUUAUCUGAAAACAGAAAAAAAGGGGGGGGUUGAUGAGUUUUUUGUGCUCCUAGUGAACAAUCUGUCCUCUUAAAUGCAGGAAAAAGUGAGUUAGAAUGG
Long non-coding RNA from Neopsephotus bourkii (Bourke's parrot), 1297 nucleotides. RefSeq lists it as uncharacterized. The transcript has 3 exons. NCBI's taxonomy places the organism in Eukaryota, Metazoa, Chordata, Aves, Psittaciformes, Psittacidae. The record is from RefSeq and is a predicted model, not a curated record.